AGAGAGAGGAGGAAAAAAACGAAAAAAGGAAAAAAAAAAUUCAAAAAUCACACAGUCGACUGUUAAGAUCGGAUCCCGUCGAGCUCCAAAUCACUACCACCAUAGAAAGUUUCUUAGAACAAGGUGAUUUUUCCAUAUCUAAGCUUUGGAUUUUUCAUUUGAAUUAUUUAUUUAUUUGUCGAUUAUAUGUUGUUAUUAUUGAUGUAAAAUCUUCAUUAUUGCUGAUGUAAUGAUUGUUGAGCUCAUUGAAAUAGCAAUUUCUUGCCAUUUCCAACAAGACAGCUGGUGGACACCGAUUGUAAACAGUCGGCUUAGCCGGCUCCUUUUUUUUUUUUUUUCAUUUUUUGUUUUUAAUUUCUUUUGUUUUUAUUAUAAUUUUUUGAAAUUGUUUUUAACGACUUUUUUU
This 406-nucleotide long non-coding RNA is filed under the name Olea europaea subsp. europaea. Lineage: Eukaryota; Viridiplantae; Streptophyta; Magnoliopsida; Lamiales; Oleaceae. The record is from RNAcentral.